UCCAAGGCCUCACUUCUUUGGGCCUAAAAAAAUACAAUUAAGGUAGAGUCCUUGAAGAAUAACUGCUGACCUUAUUCUCUGGCUGUGGGCCUUGUGGCAUAGUCAGUCACCAGGUUAGUGACAUUC
Nannospalax galili (Upper Galilee mountains blind mole rat) is the source of this 126-nucleotide small nucleolar RNA. NCBI's taxonomy places the organism in Eukaryota, Metazoa, Chordata, Mammalia, Rodentia, Spalacidae. The record is from Ensembl.